This 253-nucleotide ribosomal RNA is filed under the name uncultured Gammaproteobacteria bacterium. Its description in RNAcentral is "partial 16S ribosomal RNA". It matches the Rfam family "Bacterial small subunit ribosomal RNA", at positions 524 to 776 of the family's 1533-position model. The record is from RNAcentral. Lineage: Bacteria; Pseudomonadati; Pseudomonadota; Gammaproteobacteria.
UACGGAGGGUGCAAGCGUUAAUCGGAAUCACUGGGCGUAAAGCGCACGCAGGCGGUUUGUUAAGUCAGAUGUGAAAGCCCCGGGCUCAACCUGGGAACUGCAUAUGAUACUGGCAAACUAGAGUAUGGUAGAGAGAAGUGGAAUUCCGCAUGUAGCGGUGAAAUGCGUAGAGAUGCGGAGGAACAUCAGUGGCGAAGGCGACUUCUUGGACCAAUACUGACGCUCAGGUGCGAAAGCGUGGGGAGCAAACAGG